This 700-nucleotide long non-coding RNA is filed under the name Ananas comosus (pineapple). RNAcentral describes it as "long non-coding RNA (ACOM_LNC041817)". Lineage: Eukaryota; Viridiplantae; Streptophyta; Magnoliopsida; Poales; Bromeliaceae. The record is from RNAcentral.
ACCAAUUGUAUCAUCUUCACUUGCAUCAAUCCGAAUCCAAUUCUGUCACGCCCCGUGGCCGAUUUUGAAAGCCUUUCUAAAUUGAUUACAAUUUUUGAAAUUAGAGCUGCGGAAAACGUGCCAUUUUUUUUUCUACCUGCCCCACGUGACAUACAGACCCGCCACAAAUACAAAGUUCCUCUGUCCACUCGGACAGAACCUCCUUUGUAUUUGCACGGCGUACCAAUCAUACAUCAGGAUCUCAACCAUAACUUACAUUCACCAAUCAACAGUCAAAUUAUGUCAUGCAUUUCCAUGCAGCUAGCGAUCCUUAGAGAUGAUGCAUGCCUCUAAACACUCCUUAGGCACUGGAUGAUACAAUGCACAAUACAAUAAGCAUCCUAUUUAAAAGUGCUCCUUAUCUGGAAGCUUUGUUUUUAAACUCUACUUCAAUCAUUCACGAAAACCAUUCAAAAACCUUUUUAAAACUAUUUCCCACUCGGAAACUCCAUUUUGAAAACUUACUACCUCGAGGGGUAGAAACCACGAUGCGUAAAUACAAGAAUCAAGAAUCCAUAAACCAAAACCAUAGAUCCACAAAUCUCUAAUCAUGUGCAUGUAUAACAAAAACAUCCACUAAAACCAAUUCACGAACAAUCAAACAAUCAUAGGGAUCAUCUAACUGAACCAUUUAUUUAUUAAACUAAUAAAUGCAGAAAUA